Molecule: RNA transcript, 3519 nt
Organism: Brienomyrus brachyistius
Lineage: Eukaryota; Metazoa; Chordata; Actinopteri; Osteoglossiformes; Mormyridae
Gene name: delta-like protein 4
Exons: 11
Source: RefSeq, a predicted model, not a curated record
AUGCCGUUUGCUUACAGAGACUGUGCGCCGGCAAGGAGCUUUUGUGCGUUUUUCUGAAGAAAUACAAAGGACAUUUCAUACUCGACAGUGCAAAGGCCGCCUACUUUGUGAUAAUUUGGAGCGCAAAAUAAGGAAAAAGAAAGGUCAGACUGGGUAUGCGCAUGUGAAUAACUGGAAUUUCAGAUCGUCUGAAGUACUUAAAACUGGAUGAACAAUGUUUGUUGUUGAACAUGGAUAUGUCCACUUAAACUGUUGCUGUCAGUUUUAAAGUUUGCUGCGUGGACCUGGAAUAUAAUCUUUCGGGUGUUUUUAAGACAAACUCGUCUUUUCUGGGGAAGUGGACAGGAUGUCAGCUUGGCUCACCUUUGCGGUUGCAUUUAACCUGAUCAUUUUAGUACAGGUGUUCGAAUCCGGUGUUUUCGAGCUUAAUCUUCUUGAGUUUAAGAAUAAUAUGGGGUUGCUGGCGAAUGGCAAUACGUGCAAACCCGACUGCAGGACUUUUUUCCGAGUUUGCCUGAAGAAUUACCAGACUGUGGUGUCCCCAGGUAACUGUAUCUUCGGCAGUGUCGUUACUCCCGUAUUGGGGACAAACUCGUUCAGCGCAACGGAAGCUGGCAGUAUAAACAGGCUGAUUCGCUUGCCGUUCAAUUUCGGAUGGCCGGGGUCAUUUUCUCUAAUUAUUGAAGCGUGGCAUUCGCCUUUGACAGACGUACCUGCUGGCCCAAAUGACCCUGAGUUAUUGAUAAGCUUCUUUGCUAUCCAGAGAAAGUUAGAUGUGGGUGAUGGGUGGCGUGAGGAGAUGCAGAUUGGGAGGCACAUGCAGCUCCGCUACUCCUACCGCUUCGUCUGCAGCGAGCAUUACUAUGGCGACAGCUGCUCCAGAAAAUGCUCCCCCCGAGACGACCGCUUCGGCCACUAUACCUGCACCGCGGACGGCUAUAUUUCCUGCCUUCUGGGCUGGAAGGGAGAGUACUGCGUAGAGCCAAUCUGUCUUGAGAGGUGCAGCAAGCAAAAUGGAAACUGCUCUAGACCGGGUGAAUGUCUUGCAGUGACUGCAGAUCCCAGGAAGACAAUGUUCAGCACCUUUUACCUCCCAGUGACCAAAGGAAAUUUUGGGUGUGAUGUGGUGCCCUCUGGCAACAGGUGCAGAGAUGGCUGGCAGGGCGUCCUCUGUGACCAGUGCAGGAAGUAUCCCACCUGUAAACACGGCACCUGUCAACAACCCUGGCAGUGCAACUGUGAGGAGGGCUGGGGGGGGCUCCUCUGUGACCAGGAUCUGAACUACUGCACCCACCAUAAGCCCUGUCGCAAUGGCGCCACCUGCAUGAACACAGGCCAGGGCAGCUACACCUGCACCUGCCCACCUGGCUUCACCGGUGCCGACUGCCAGCUGGGGGCGCCGGAGUGCAGCAGCAGCCCCUGCCAGAAUGGGGGGGAGUGUGCGGACCUGGAAGAUGGCUACCGGUGCAUCUGUCCAAGAGGCACGGAUGGGGCCCACUGCCAGUACCGGCUGCUCACUUGUGCCGAUGUCCCCUGCUUCCACAGUGGGAGGUGCAGGGACAAGCAGGGUGGGCGGGGUUAUGUCUGCGAGUGCCCAUGGGGCUUCACCGGGCUCAACUGUGAGAGGAGGCUGGACCGGUGCUCAUCGCUGCCAUGUGCCAAUGGUGGCUGGUGCGUCCUUCAGAGCGGCCGGCCUGUAUGUGGUUGUCCGGCAGGAUUCAAGGGUCCUCGCUGCGAGAUCAACACCAACUGGUGCAAUGGAAGCCCCUGUGCUAAUGGGGGCACCUGCGUGCCUUAUGCCAAGGACUACAGCUGCACCUGCCCCCCUGGGCACACGGGCCGCCGCUGUGACACGCCCACCGAGCCGUGUGUCGCCCAGCCCUGCCUCCACGGUGGCACCUGUCUUGGCAACAGCACCGGCCAAUCACCAUCCUGCGUCUGCCCCACCCACUACACUGGCCCCCACUGCCAGUACCACGUCAUGACCCUGCCCCUCGCUCCUAGCCAAGAAGAGCCCAGGAGCGCCCUCCAGUGGGUGGCCAUGUCCAUGGGAGUUGGGCUGGUGAUCCUGCUGCUGCUGUUAUGCAUGGUGGCUGUCGCACUGAACAAAAUCCACCGGCAGCGAAAUGGGGAGAGACGUGACGGCGAUACUGUGAACAACGUGCCUCAUGUGGACAGGGACAACCUGAUACCCUCCCUUCAGCUGAAGAAAACCAAUGAGAAGGUCGCUGUCGAGGAGGGUCACACUCAGGGGAAAUGCAACCAAAGACACAGCAGCUACCACUUGGACUACAAGUCCGCUAAAGACUUCAAGGAUGACUGGGAAGCCGGUGAAAAGAGACAGAUCAAUGAAAGAAGGAUAGCAGGGAAAAUAUCUUUAAGUAGAAUGUACAGGUAAGAGGAUUCUUACAGGAAACUGUUCCAGAAGAGUCCCACCGUGUGAACUCGAGACGCCAAAGUGUAAAAUAUCAACAAUAUGCUCCCCUGGAGAGUCAACAUACCAGGCUCUGUUUUUAAUAGCAGACAGGAGUAACCGGUGUUUUACAGUAACUGAGGUUUAAACUCAGGACUGAACAGAAGAGGCACCAAGGCGACGGCCCUCAGAUCUGUUUACAUGUGCGAGUGCAGAUACUGUAUAUGCUGGAGAUGUUGGACUUAAUAUUGUGUCGCUGCUCUUAAGGACCGAAGAGAAUGGACAUGUGUCACGUUGAGGUGACGUGAUUUAUUCAUGGACAAAAAUGUCCCAGAGACUAAACAAGAACAUUUAUUUGGGUGAUUUUGGCCCAACGAUCAGCCAUGGAAAACCAACAGGAUCACAGCACUAACAGAGAUGUCGCUGAUUAUGAACCCCUCCUAUGCAAAAUUGUAACACAAUAAACUGUUUAAUCAAAUAUAUGGUUAAUAAAGUAUGAGGUCUAAGUAAAUAAUAUGGAUAGCUACCCAUAUUUUACACUUUAUAUGAAUAAAUCAAACACUUAUAAUGCUCAGUUUCCCUGCUUUUCAUGGAUCAUAUGCAAGACAGUUUAAAUACUGCAGCCUGAAAGAUGAUAGCGACCUUAAAGAAAUCAAGGUGCAGCCUGUAAGCACUUCAGUCACUAGCUAAUAAAAAUGUAAUACAGCCUUGCAUUGACUUGCGUUUGGAUAUGCGACCAAGCCCACUGCACUCAAAUCAGUUUGGGUGUAUCUCGAUACUGUAGCUGUCCAUUGCGUGUACAUUACAGGUUAGACAUGGACUGUGGGUCAUUAUAUGGCUGGCAGCUCUGCCCUGCACCUGUUACUCUACGUUGUUACCCGCUAACAUCCUGCUGCUUUCGCUUUCAGGCAUCUCUUGAUCAGUGUGUAUUAUUUACUAUACACCUCAGAAGUUGGAUGUGACUCAGUCAGGUGUUGUUCCAUGUAAGACUGUAAUUUUAUUUCAGUACUAAAGCAGUGUUUUCACGGAUGACUUUGUACGUAGUGCCUGUUUAUAAGGAACAAGUGUCAAAUGUAAAUGCUAUUAUUUCAAACUAUUCAAUCUCA